UACGGGGGGGGCAAGCGUUGUUCGGAAUUACUGGGCGUAAAGGGCUCGUAGGCGGCCAACUAAGUCAGACGUGAAAUCCCUCGGCUCAACCGGGGAACUGCGUCUGAUACUGGAUGGCUUGAAUCCGGGAGAGGGAUGCGGAAUUCCAGGUGUAGCGGUGAAAUGCGUAGAUAUCAGGAGGAACACCUGCGGUGUAGACAGCUUACUGGACCACUUCUGACGCUGAGACACGAAAGCGUGGGUAGCAAACAGG
This 253-nucleotide ribosomal RNA is filed under the name uncultured bacterium. RNAcentral's name for it is "partial 16S ribosomal RNA". It matches the Rfam family "Bacterial small subunit ribosomal RNA", at positions 524 to 776 of the family's 1533-position model. The record is from RNAcentral.